This 453-nucleotide ribosomal RNA is filed under the name uncultured Porphyromonadaceae bacterium. RNAcentral describes it as "partial 16S ribosomal RNA". It matches the Rfam family "Bacterial small subunit ribosomal RNA", at positions 341 to 792 of the family's 1533-position model. Lineage: Bacteria; Pseudomonadati; Bacteroidota; Bacteroidia; Bacteroidales; Porphyromonadaceae. The record is from RNAcentral.
ACGGGAGGCAGCAGUGAGGAAUAUUGGUCAAUGGGCGGAAGCCUGAACCAGCCAAGUCGCGUGAAGGAUGAAGGUAUUAUGUAUUGUAAACUUCUUUAGACGCAGAGAAAUAAGGAGGUCGAGACCUCUGAUGCUAGUAUGCGUAGAAUAAGGAUCGGCUAACUCCGUGCCAGUAGCCGCGGUAAUACGGAGGAUCCGAGCGUUAUCCGGAUUUAUUGGGUUUAAAGGGUGCGCAGGCGGCCCUGUAAGUCAGCGGUUAAAUCGUGAGGCUCAACCUCAUCCCGCCGUUGAUACUGCAGGGCUUGAUUGCGGUCGAGGUUGGCGGAAUUCGCCGUGUAGCGGUGAAAUGCAUAGAUAUGGCGAAGAACUCCGAUUGCGUAGGCAGCUGACCAGGCCGUAAAUGACGCUCAUGCACGAAAGUGCGGGGAUCGAACAGGAUUAGAUACCCUGGUA